UAGCCAGACUCCUACGGGAGGCAGCAGUGAGGAAUAUUGGUCAAUGGUCGGGAGACUGAACCAGCCAAGCCGCGUGAGGGAUGAAGGUACAGAGUAUCGUAAACCUCUUUUGUCAGGGAACAAAGGCGGGGACGUGUCCCCGGAUGAGUGUACCUGAAGAAAAAGCAUCGGCUAACUCCGUGCCAGCAGCCGCGGUAAUACGGAGGAUGCGAGCGUUAUCCGGAUUUAUUGGGUUUAAAGGGUGCGUAGGCGGGACGGUAAGUCAGCGGUAAAAAUGCGGAGCUCAACUCCGUCGAGCCGUUGAAACUGCCGUUCGUGAGUGAGCGAGAAGUAUGCGGAAUGCGUGGUGUAGCGGUGAAAUGCAUAGAUAUCGCGCAGAACUCCGAUUGCGAAGGCAGCAUGCCGGCUCCACACUGACGCUGAGGCACGAAAGCGUGGGUAUCGAACAGGAUUAGAUACCCCAGUA
This 466-nucleotide ribosomal RNA is filed under the name uncultured bacterium. Its description in RNAcentral is "bacterial SSU rRNA". It matches the Rfam family "Bacterial small subunit ribosomal RNA", at positions 328 to 792 of the family's 1533-position model. The record is from RNAcentral.